This 690-nucleotide ribosomal RNA is filed under the name uncultured actinomycete. Its description in RNAcentral is "bacterial SSU rRNA". It matches the Rfam family "Bacterial small subunit ribosomal RNA", at positions 223 to 912 of the family's 1533-position model. The record is from RNAcentral. Lineage: Bacteria; Bacillati; Actinomycetota; Actinomycetes; Actinomycetales.
GGAUGAGCCCGCGGCCUAUCAGCUAGUUGGUGGGGUAACGGCCUACCAAGGCGACGACGGGUAGCCGGCCUGAGAGGGUGUCCGGCCACACUGGGACUGAGACACGGCCCAGACUCCUACGGGAGGCAGCAGUGGGGAAUAUUGCACAAUGGGCGGAAGCCUGAUGCAGCAACGCCGCGUGGGGGAUGACGGCCUUCGGGUUGUAAACCUCUUUCGGCAUCGACGAAGGCUCUCGUGUUCGGGGGUUGACGGUAGGUGCAGAAGAAGCACCGGCUAACUACGUGCCAGCAGCCGCGGUAAUACGUAGGGUGCGAGCGUUGUCCGGAUUUAUUGGGCGUAAAGAGCUCGUAGGCGGUUUGUCGCGUCGGCCGUGAAAACCUGCAGCUUAACUGUGGGCGUGCGGUCGAUACGGGCAGACUUGAGUUCGGUAGGGGAGACUGGAAUUCCUGGUGUAGCGGUGAAAUGCGCAGAUAUCAGGAGGAACACCGGUGGCGAAGGCGGGUCUCUGGGCCGAUACUGACGCUGAGGAGCGAAAGCGUGGGGAGCGAACAGGAUUAGAUACCCUGGUAGUCCACGCCGUAAACGUUGGGCGCUAGGUGUAGGGGGCUUCCACGGUUUCCGUGCCGUAGCUAACGCAUUAAGCGCCCCGCCUGGGGAGUACGGCCGCAAGGCUAAAACUCAAAGGAAUUG